Molecule: long non-coding RNA, 1005 nt
Filed under: Phascolarctos cinereus (koala)
Lineage: Eukaryota; Metazoa; Chordata; Mammalia; Diprotodontia; Phascolarctidae
Description: lncRNA (ENSPCIG00000035142.1)
Rfam family: mir-132 microRNA precursor family (bases 226-307)
Source: RNAcentral
AUGAGGAGCCGGCCGGAGUACUAUCCCAGCUAUAAAAGCUGCGGCGCGGUGGCGACGGCUGAGGGAGCUGAGCGGCGGGGGCUGGGACGCCAGGCAUCCAGCCGUCCAGCCGACCGUCUGUCCGGCUGCUUCUACCAGCUCAGGCUCCUGUCGCUUGUCCCAGCCCCUCUCCAGAGACACUGCAGAAGCAGUAGGAGGAGGAUUUAUUCAGGUCCGGCCCGGGCAGCGCGCCGGCACCUUGGCUCUAGACUGCUUACUGCCCGGGCCACCCUCAGUAACAGUCUCCAGUCACGGCCACCGACGCCUGGCCCCCGCCCCUGGACACCCGGACACUCCUGGAAGCCCCGCAGACUCCCGCCGCCCCCUUCAAUAUUUCUGCCCCAAAACAUCUUCUGGGCUCCCUCGCCAGCCCCGUGCUGCAAAUUUUGCUCCCUACGGUGUCCCUGAAUGUAACCUCGGACGAUGCCCAAGGCCCCAGACGAUGCAGAGGAGUCCCAAGCGGUGGGCUAGGGUGGGGGGCAGGCAAUGGAAAAAGCUCUGCCUUCCCAGCGGGGUCCCUAGGCUCUGGGCAGUCCUCCUGCCCCGAGGGCCCAUCUUUGGAGCUGUCCGUGGUGCUGAUCCCAGCGGACUGCUGCUCCUGUAAUCAGCCCGAGCCUCUUCUGCGUUCGGCACCCCGGGGCUGCAGUGCUGCGACUGAGCCCCCAGCCAAGGUUCGAGUGCAGGCCAACAGGUCGUAGGGGGUGUAGGCAGACCCCGCGGGAAAUGCCGCAGUCCACUCCCUGGCUGCGGCCCCGGACAUCCGGGACUACAAGACCCCAGCCUGGAAAAUUUCAUGGGGGAAGCAGGGCAUUUAUGGCACGAAGUAUCCCGACCAAACCUUUUUGGGGCCGGGGCUGCUCCACUGAGCGGCCCCUGGAACUGCGCCAACCUUCUCCUCUUCUCCAACAUUCCCCUUUCCCCCUCCUCACCCCCCACAACCUAGCCUUAGCCCUCCCCUACCCCCCC